This 252-nucleotide long non-coding RNA is filed under the name Prunus persica (peach). RNAcentral describes it as "long non-coding RNA (PPER_LNC005662)". The record is from RNAcentral. Lineage: Eukaryota; Viridiplantae; Streptophyta; Magnoliopsida; Rosales; Rosaceae.
GCAGCCAAGGUAUAUGUUACAGACAAAGCUUCAAUCUAAUAUUCAAUAAAUAAAUAAUAAUUAAAACAUAAUUACUAAUUAAAGUAUUCAAAAAGGCUAAGAUAUUACUUAAUUACAUGUAUUAAAUUAAAGAAGUUGUCAAAAAAACAAAAGUAAAGAAACUAAUUUUAUUUUAUAUUUUUAAAAUUAAAACAAAAACACAAAAACACCUUGACCAACAAACAUUUAUCGGCAUAAGUAGGUAUAUGCCAG